Long non-coding RNA from Melozone crissalis (California towhee), 274 nucleotides. RefSeq lists it as uncharacterized. The record is from RefSeq and is a predicted model, not a curated record. The transcript is spliced from 4 exons. Lineage: Eukaryota; Metazoa; Chordata; Aves; Passeriformes; Passerellidae.
UGAAGAGCAGCAACAUCCUUCUCAGAACUGACGGUUCUGUCAAGCUGGCUGAUUUUGGCCUCUCUACUCAGCUCAACUCUGAGCAGAGCAGAUGGUGCUCACUAACCGGGACUCCUUGGUGGAUGGCGCCUGAAGUGGUGACAGCAUCUGCUCUAGUUUUGGUUGCAUCAGCUCAACACCUGAUAGCCACAGUGGGGACCCCAAAGCUGCAGCAGCCCAAGCUCCUCUCAGCUUUGCUGCGUGACUUCCUGAGCUGCUGCCUGCAGAGAGAUGA